UAAUAAUUUAAUUUCAGUUAAUUAAUUAGUUGAAUUAAUUGAUCUAUAAAUUUAAUUUUGAAAUAUAGUUUUUUUUAAAUAGGAAAAUUUAUUUUUAUAUGUAAAGAUUAAAUUUAAUAAUGAAUGAAAGUUCGAAUUAGUUAUUAAUUUUAAUAAAGGUAAUUUUAGUGCCAGCAACAGCGGUUAGACUAAAUUUAUAAAUUAAUUUAUUUAAUUUUUGAAUUGGGAAGAUUUUAAUUAUUAGGGUUCAUUUAAAUUAAUCUAAAUUUGGUGAAAUAUUUUAGAUUACUAUAUUGAUUUUAAUUAAACUAAUAUUUAUAAAAGUUUGUAACUGACUAGGAUUAGAUACCCUAUUAUAGAACUUACCCAUAUUGAAUUGAUUAUUAAAUGUAGAUCAUUAAAAUUAACAAAUAUGGCGGCUUUAUAACUUAUUUAGAGGAAUUUGUGUUUUAAUUGAUAAUCCACGAUAGGAUUUACUAUAAUUGGUUUUAUGUAUUGCUGUUUGAAGAAUUUAUUUAUAUAUUAUUUUUUUAAUAUUGUAUUGGAUAGAAAUUCAAGUCAAAAUGUAGAAUAUUAUAGAUUUUAUGAAUUACAUUAAAUUUUAUUUUUGAAUUAAUUAUUUUAAUAUAAUUUUGAAAUUGGAUUUAAAAGUAAAUCUAAUAAAUUUGUUUGGUUGAAGUUAAUUUUAUUUAGUGUACAAAUUGCCCGUCAUUCUCAUUAUAAGUGAGGAAAGUCGUAACAUAGUAAAUGUACUGGAAAGUGUAUUUAGUUA
RNAcentral lists this non-coding RNA (772 nucleotides) under Andrena chekiangensis. The record is from RNAcentral. Lineage: Eukaryota; Metazoa; Arthropoda; Insecta; Hymenoptera; Andrenidae.